GCGCGUAUAACUCAGUUGGUCAGAGUGCCUCCCUUACAAGGAGGAAGUCGGAGGUUCGAAUCCUUCUACGCGCA
This 74-nucleotide transfer RNA is filed under the name bacterium. RNAcentral's name for it is "tRNA-Val". It matches the Rfam family "tRNA". From Rfam's summary of the family: Transfer RNA (tRNA) molecules are approximately 80 nucleotides in length. Their secondary structure includes four short double-helical elements and three loops (D, anti-codon, and T loops). RNAcentral also lists the same sequence under 1 other name. The record is from RNAcentral.